GGCGCAGCAGGCGCGAAACCUCCGCAAUGCGGGAAACCGCGACGGGGGGACCCCGAGUGCCGUGGCACCGCCACGGCUUUUCCGGAGUGUAAAAAGCUCCGGGAAUAAGGGCUGGGCAAGGCCGGUGGCAGCCGCCGCGGUAAUACCGGCGGCCCGAGUGGUGGCCGCUAUUAUUGGGCCUAAAGCGUCCGUAGCCGGGCCCGUAAGUCCCUGGCGAAAUCCCACGGCUCAACCGUGGGGCUUGCUGGGGAUACUGCGGGCCUUGGGACCGGGAGAGGCGGGGGGUACCCCUGGGGUAGGGGUGAAAUCCUAUAAUCCCAGGGGGACCGCCAGUGGCGAAGGCGCCCCGCUGGAACGGGUCCGACGGUGAGGGACGAAGGCCAGGGGAGCAAACCGGAUUAGAUACCCGGGUAGUCCUGGCUGUAAAGGAUGCGGGCUAGGUGUCGGGUGAGCUUCGAGCUCGCCCGGUGCCGUAGGGAAGCCGUUAAGCCCGCCGCCUGGGGAGUACGGCCGCAAGGCUGAAACUUAAAGGAAUUGGCGGGGGAGCACUACAAGGGGUGGAGCGUGCGGUUUAAUUGGAUUCAACGCCGGG
This 592-nucleotide ribosomal RNA is filed under the name uncultured archaeon. RNAcentral's name for it is "bacterial SSU rRNA". It matches the Rfam family "Archaeal small subunit ribosomal RNA", at positions 329 to 922 of the family's 1478-position model. The record is from RNAcentral.